AGCAGUAGGGAAUCUUUGGCAAUGGACGAAAGUCUGACCGAGCAACGCCGCGUGAGUGAAGAAGGUUUUCGGAUCGUAAAACUCUGUUGGUAGAGAAGAACGUUGGUGAGAGUGGAAAGCUCAUCAAGUGACGGUAACUACCCAGAAAGGGACGGCUAACUACGUGCCAG
Molecule: ribosomal RNA, 170 nt
Filed under: uncultured bacterium
Lineage: Bacteria
Description: partial 16S rRNA
Rfam family: Bacterial small subunit ribosomal RNA
Source: RNAcentral